CCCAGACUCCUACGGGAGGCAGCAGUGGGGAAUAUUGCACAAUGGGCGAAAGCCUGAUGCAGCGACGCCGCGUGAGUGAAGAAGUAUUUCGGUAUGUAAAGCUCUAUCAGCAGGGAAGAAAAUGACGGUACCUGACUAAGAAGCCCCGGCUAACUACGUGCCAGCAGCCGCGGUAAUACGUAGGGGGCAAGCGUUAUCCGGAUUUACUGGGUGUAAAGGGAGCGUAGACGGCGAAGCAAGUCUGAAGUGAAAACCCCGGGCUCAACCCUGGGACUGCUUUGGAAACUGUUUUGCUAGAGUGUCGGAGAGGUAAGUGGAAUUCCUAGUGUAGCGGUGAAAUGCGUAGAUAUUAGGAGGAACACCAGUUGCGAAGGCGGCUCUCUGGACUGUAACUGACGCUGAGGCACGAAAGCGUGGGGAGCAAACAGGAUUAGAUACCCGAGUA
RNAcentral lists this ribosomal RNA (445 nucleotides) under uncultured bacterium. Its description in RNAcentral is "bacterial SSU rRNA". It matches the Rfam family "Bacterial small subunit ribosomal RNA", at positions 330 to 792 of the family's 1533-position model. The record is from RNAcentral.